This 254-nucleotide ribosomal RNA is filed under the name uncultured bacterium. RNAcentral describes it as "partial 16S ribosomal RNA". It matches the Rfam family "Bacterial small subunit ribosomal RNA", at positions 258 to 504 of the family's 1533-position model. The record is from RNAcentral.
UAACGGCUCACCUAGGCGACGAUCCCUAGCUGGUCUGAGAGGAUGACCAGCCACACUGGAACUGAGACACGGUCCAGACUCCUACGGGAGGCAGCAGUGGGGAAUAUUGCACAAUGGGCGCAAGCCUGAUGCAGCCAUGCCGCGUGUAUGAAGAAGGCCUUCGGGUUGUAAAGUACUUUCAGCGGGGAGGAAGGGAGUAAAGUUAAUACCUUUGCUCAUUGACGUUACCCGCAGAAGAAGCACCGGCUAACUCC